This 177-nucleotide small RNA is filed under the name Oryza sativa Japonica Group (Japanese rice). RNAcentral's name for it is "sRNA Os11g0414250". The record is from RNAcentral. Lineage: Eukaryota; Viridiplantae; Streptophyta; Magnoliopsida; Poales; Poaceae.
ACCUCAAAAAAGGUGUCACCGUAACGUGAGAAGUUGAGAUCCGAGGACUCGAUACUUUUGGCAACAAGUUCCUGUCUCCAGCAUUAUCCAGAUAAAUCUGGACAAUUGCAUCAGAGAAUGAUGCAGGGUCCAAAGGAGCAGCAAUAUUCCGUUUGCGGGUCUUAAUCCGCUGGCCUC